This is a long non-coding RNA of Culicoides brevitarsis, 885 nucleotides long. RefSeq lists it as uncharacterized. The transcript is spliced from 4 exons. Lineage: Eukaryota; Metazoa; Arthropoda; Insecta; Diptera; Ceratopogonidae. The record is from RefSeq and is a predicted model, not a curated record.
GCAAAAUGAAUAGUUUUAAUUUACAUAUUUUUGUGAUAUUUUGUAUUAAAUUUGCUCUUGGUGCUUUGCCAACAAGUCUAAAUGCAUGUCCAAAUAAAAGUACAGAGGAAUUCAACUCGUGUUUGCAAGAUCUCAUCAGUAAUAUCAAGACAAACCUGGCAACUGGAGACUUUGGAGAUGGCUUUAAAUUGCAACGACUUGAACCCUUAUUUACUAAGCAGAUAGUGAUUGACACACCAGAUUUGAAAAUUAAUAUGACUGAAAGCAAUUUGCUUGGGAUAUCUUCAUUUAAAAUAACAAGUGUAAAGUCAGAUUUACAAAAUUUACAGUUUGAUAUUGGUAUAUUUUCACCUAUACUUAAUUUUAAUGCGAAGUAUAGUUUGCACCAACAUUUCAAGUCACUUAAAGUGUAUGUUAAGGCUAUUGGAGAUAUAAGCGGAAUAUUUAAAAAAGCUCGUUCAAAGAUACGAAUCAAAUUUAUUGUGAAUGAUGAUUUAUCAGUCAAACUAGAGGAUAUUCAGUAUAAACUAAGAAUAGCAGAUGCUCAUUUUGAUAUUGAGUCAUUAAUCGUCAAAAGUGAUGAUUCUGAUACAAAUACUGGUACAAAUCGAAUAUUAUUGAAAGAAAUUGCAAACAACUUCAUUAAUGCUGACCCUGGAUUUAUUUUGAGAAAAGUUGAACCAAAGUUAGAGCAGCAUUUCAUGGCAUAUCUAACUGAACUGAUUUCAAAAUUGUUAAAGGAUGUAAAGUUAAAGGAUUUUUUUACUUUUUAGAAAUAGUUACUUAGGCUCUAAAAUGUUAUAGAAAUCAUUACUAACUAAUAAAGGAGCAUCUCGGUUUACAACAUAUUUAAUAUACCUACUGAUUUCAUAGUGUCAUUAAUAU